RNAcentral lists this ribosomal RNA (201 nucleotides) under uncultured bacterium. RNAcentral's name for it is "partial 16S ribosomal RNA". It matches the Rfam family "Bacterial small subunit ribosomal RNA", at positions 1300 to 1500 of the family's 1533-position model. The record is from RNAcentral.
GUAGUCUGCAACCCGACUACAUGAAGCUGGAAUCGCUAGUAAUCGCGGAUCAGAAUGCCGCGGUGAAUACGUUCCCGGGUCUUGUACACACCGCCCGUCACACCAUGGGAGUCGGAAAUGCCCGAAGUCUGUGACCUAACCGUAAGGAAGGAGCAGCCGAAGGCAGGUCGGAUGACUGGGGUGAAGUCGUAACAAGGUAUC